GACGGACGCUGGCGGCGUGCUUAACACAUGCAAGUCGAACGGAAAGGCCCUGCUUGCCGGGUACUCGAGUGGCGAACGGGUGAGUAACACGUGGGUGAUCUGCCCUGCACUUCGGGAUAAGCCUGGGAAACUGGGUCUAAUACCGGAUAGGAGCCAUUUUUAGUGUGAUGGUUGGAAAGUUUUUUCGGUGUAGGAUGAGCUCGCGGCCUAUCAGCUUGUUGGUGGGGUAAUGGCCUACCAAGGCGGCGACGGGUAGCCGGCCUGAGAGGGUGGACGGCCACAUUGGGACUGAGAUACGGCCCAGACUCCUACGGGAGGCAGCAGUGGGGAAUAUUGCACAAUGGGCGCAAGCCUGAUGCAGCGACGCCGCGUGGGGGAUGACGGCCUUCGGGUUGUAAACUCCUUUCGCUAGGGACGAAGCUUUUGUGACGGUACCUAGAUAAGAAGCACCGGCUAACUACGUG
RNAcentral lists this ribosomal RNA (464 nucleotides) under uncultured bacterium. Its description in RNAcentral is "partial 16S ribosomal RNA". It matches the Rfam family "Bacterial small subunit ribosomal RNA", at positions 28 to 507 of the family's 1533-position model. The record is from RNAcentral.